This 1713-nucleotide ribosomal RNA is filed under the name Salmonella enterica subsp. enterica serovar Enteritidis. Its description in RNAcentral is "partial 23S ribosomal RNA". It matches the Rfam family "Bacterial large subunit ribosomal RNA", at positions 1 to 2141 of the family's 2925-position model. The record is from RNAcentral. Lineage: Bacteria; Pseudomonadati; Pseudomonadota; Gammaproteobacteria; Enterobacterales; Enterobacteriaceae.
CCACCACCAAAGCAUUUGCUGUACCGCGUUGACGGAGCGAAGCGACGUCAAACCGAUAAAACAGCAGUGUAAAGUGAGCCGCAGGGCGCUUUGCGCGACAGCGCAAAGGCAGGCGGUUUCGCGUAGCGAAAGCGAAUGCUUUGGGGUGGGGUGACUGCGUACCUUUUGUAUAAUGGGUCAGCGACUUAUAUUCUGUAGCAAGGUUAACCGAAUAGGGGAGCCGGAGGGAAACCGAGUCUUAAUUGGGCGUUAAGUUGCAGGGUAUAGACCCGAAACCCGGUGAUCUAGCCAUGGGCAGGUUGAAGGUUGGGUAACACUAACUGGAGGACCGAACCGACUAAUGUUGAAAAAUUAGCGGAUGACCUGUGGCUGGGGGUGAAAGGCCAAUCAAACCGGGAGAUAGCUGGUUCUCCCCGAAAGCUAUUUAGGUAGCGCCUCGUGAAUUCAUCUCCGGGGGUAGAGCACUGUUUCGGCUAGGGGGCCAUCCCGGCUUACCAACCCGAUGCAAACUGCGAAUACCGGAGAAUGUUAUCACGGGAGACACACGGCGGGUGCUAACGUCCGUCGUGAAGAGGGAAACAACCCAGACCGCCAGCUAAGGUCCCAAAGUCAUGGUUAAGUGGGAAACGAUGUGGGAAGGCCCAGACAGCCAGGAUGUUGGCUUAGAAGCAGCCAUCAUUUAAAGAAAGCGUAAUAGCUCACUGGUCGAGUCGGCCUGCGCGGAAGAUGUAACGGGGCUAAACCAUGCACCGAAGCUGCGGCAGCGACGCUUAUGCGUUGUUGGGUAGGGGAGCGUUCUGUAAGCCUGCGAAGGUGGCCUGUGAGGGUUGCUGGAGGUAUCAGAAGUGCGAAUGCUGACAUAAGUAACGAUAAAGCGGGUGAAAAGCCCGCUCGCCGGAAGACCAAGGGUUCCUGUCCAACGUUAAUCGGGGCAGGGUGAGUCGACCCCUAAGGCGAGGCCGAAAGGCGUAGUCGAUGGGAAACGGGUUAAUAUUCCCGUACUUGGUGUUACUGCGAAGGGGGGACGGAGAAGGCUAUGUUGGCCGGGCGACGGUUGUCCCGGUUUAAGCGUGUAGGCUGGUUUUCCAGGCAAAUCCGGAAAAUCAAGGCUGAGGCGUGAUGACGAGGCACUACGGUGCUGAAGCAACAAAUGCCCUGCUUCCAGGAAAAGCCUCUAAGCAUCAGGUAACAUCAAAUCGUACCCCAAACCGACACAGGUGGUCAGGUAGAGAAUACCAAGGCGCUUGAGAGAACUCGGGUGAAGGAACUAGGCAAAAUGGUGCCGUAACUUCGGGAGAAGGCACGCUGACACGUAGGUGAAGUGAUUUACUCACGGAGCUGAAGUCAGUCGAAGAUACCAGCUGGCUGCAACUGUUUAUUAAAAACACAGCACUGUGCAAACACGAAAGUGGACGUAUACGGUGUGACGCCUGCCCGGUGCCGGAAGGUUAAUUGAUGGGGUCAGCGCAAGCGAAGCUCCUGAUCGAAGCCCCGGUAAACGGCGGCCGUAACUAUAACGGUCCUAAGGUAGCGAAAUUCCUUGUCGGGUAAGUUCCGACCUGCACGAAUGGCGUAAUGAUGGCCAGGCUGUCUCCACCCGAGACUCAGUGAAAUUGAACUCGCUGUGAAGAUGCAGUGUACCCGCGGCAAGACGGAAAGACCCCGUGAACCUUUACUAUAGCUUGACACUGAACAUUGAGCCUUGAUGUGUAG